UGGGGAAUAUUGCACAAUGGGCGCAAGCCUGAUGCAGCAACGCCGCGUGAGGGACGACGGCCUUCGGGUUGUAAACCUCUUUUAGUAGGGAAGAAGCGAAAGUGACGGUACCUGCAGAAAAAGCACCGGCUAACUACGUGCCAGCAGCCGCGGUAAUACGUAGGGUGCGAGCGUUGUCCGGAAUUAUUGGGCGUAAAGAGCUCGUAGGCGGUCUGUCGCGUCUGCUGUGAAAACCCGAGGCUCAACCUCGGGCCUGCAGUGGGUACGGGCAGACUAGAGUGCGGUAGGGGAGAAUGGAAUUCCUGGUGUAGCGGUGGAAUGCGCAGAUAUCAGGAGGAACACCGAUGGCGAAGGCAGUUCUCUGGGCCGUAACUGACGCUGAGGAGCGAAAGCGUGGGGAGCGAACAGGAUUAGAUACCCUGGUAGUCCACGCCGUAAACGUUGGGCGCUAGAUGUGGGGACCAUUCCACGGUUUCCGUGUCGCAGCUAACGCAUUAAGCGCCCCGCCUGGGGGAGUACGGCCGCAAGGCUAAAACUU
RNAcentral lists this ribosomal RNA (538 nucleotides) under uncultured bacterium. Its description in RNAcentral is "partial 16S ribosomal RNA". It matches the Rfam family "Bacterial small subunit ribosomal RNA", at positions 355 to 902 of the family's 1533-position model. The record is from RNAcentral.